This 400-nucleotide ribosomal RNA is filed under the name phytoplankton environmental sample. RNAcentral's name for it is "partial small subunit ribosomal RNA". It matches the Rfam family "Eukaryotic small subunit ribosomal RNA", at positions 587 to 990 of the family's 1831-position model. The record is from RNAcentral.
AGCUCCAAUAGCGUAUAUUAAAGUUGUUGCGGUUAAAAAGCUCGUAGUUGGAUCUCGGGUCUGGGCAGACGGUUAGCCUUGCGGCUUAUACUGUCAGUCUGUACCUUCUUGAUGUUGUGAGCUAGUGGGCUUCGUUGCCUGCCAGUCUUAUUUCGUCGUCUUUACCUUGAAAAAAUUAGAGUGCUCAAAGCAGGCUCAUAUGCCUGGAUAAUGGUGCAUGGAAUAAUGGAAUAGGACCGCUGAUCCUAUUUUGUUGGGCUAAGGAACAGAGGUAAUGAUUAAGAGGGACAGGUGGGGGCAUUCGUACUGUGCCGUUAGAGGUGAAAUUCUUGGAUCGGCGCAAGACGCACUACUGCGAAAGCAUUUGCCAAGAAUGUUUUCAUUGAUCAAGAACGAAAGU